UGAGGAAUUUUGCGCAAUGGGAGCAAUCCUGACGCAGCAACGCCGCGUGGGUGAUGAAGGCCUUCGGGUCGUAAAGCCCUGUCGGGUGGGAAGAAUGUCCCGGGACUGAACAGGUUUCGGGAGUGACGGUACCACCAGAGGAAGCACCGGCUAACUCCGUGCC
This 163-nucleotide ribosomal RNA is filed under the name uncultured bacterium. RNAcentral describes it as "partial 16S ribosomal RNA". It matches the Rfam family "Bacterial small subunit ribosomal RNA", at positions 355 to 509 of the family's 1533-position model. The record is from RNAcentral.